This 377-nucleotide ribosomal RNA is filed under the name uncultured bacterium. Its description in RNAcentral is "bacterial SSU rRNA". It matches the Rfam family "Bacterial small subunit ribosomal RNA", at positions 524 to 898 of the family's 1533-position model. The record is from RNAcentral.
UACGAAGGGUGCAAGCGUUAUUCGGAGUUACUGGGCGUAAAGAGUAUGUAGGCGGUUUGUUAAGUUAGUUGUUAAAUACCACGGCUCAACUGUGGAAAGGCAGCUAAAACUGGCAAGCUAGAGCGCAGAAGAGAGGAGUGGAAUUCCCGGAGUAGCGGUAAAAUGCGUAGAUCUCGGGAGGAACACCGGUUGCGAAGGCGGCUUCUUGGUCUGUGGCUGACGCUAAAGUACGAAAGCGUGGGGAGCAAACAGGAUUAGAUACCCUGGUAGUCCACGCUGUAAACGAUGAUCACUGGAUGUGGGCCGGGCUUAGCCUGGUCUGUGUCGAAGCUAACGCGUUAAGUGAUCCGCCUGGGAAGUACGGUCGCAAGAUUAAA